AUGAUUUGGAAUUCCUGGUUAGAUUUUUCCAAACCACGCGAGGGGAACGCGACAGGUCCCAAAGACCCAAACGAAAAGACCAAGAACUCCAGGCUAGACCCGUUACCAGCCACUGCCUGGUUGAUCCGAAGAUCCACAGGCUUCGUCACUGCCAACUACCCUGUUGGCGAAGAGAAAAAUAGCGAGCAGACGAUGCUCAAAGCCGUGCAGCUCGUUCUCCGGGAGACGAGCAGAGUUCACGGGUUGACGGCGUCAGGUAUCGUCAAUGGCUUCUCCACGGCUCCGAACUCUCAGAGGUUAGCUGGUAAGGUGGCGGUCAUCACCGGCGCCGCGAGCGGCAUUGGCAAGGCGACGGCCAUGGAGUUCAUCAGGAACGGCGCCAAGAUCAUCAUCGCCGACGUGCAGGACGACCUGGGCCGCUCGGUCGCCGCGGAGCUCGGCCCGGACGCGGCCUACGUCCGGUGCGACGUCUCCGACGAGGCGCAGAUCGCCGCGGCCGUGGACCUCGCCGUGGAGCGGCACGGACACCUGGACGUCCUCUACAGCAACGCCGGCAUGUCCGGGUCCGUGACGCAGAUCGCCGUGGGCGCCCUCGACCUCGCCGACUUCGACCGCGUGAUGGCGGUGAACGCGCGUUCGGCGGUCGCGUGCAUCAAGCACGGCGCGCGCGUCAUGGCGCCGCGCCGCCGUGGCAGCAUCCUCUGCACAGCCAGCGUGAUGGGCGUGCUCACCUUCGGCGCCCCGGCCAUCGCGUACGCCGUCUCGAAGGCCACCGUCAUCGCGGCGGUGCGCGCGGCCGCGGGCCCGCUGGCGCGCGACGGCGUGCGGGUGAACGCCAUCUCGCCGCACGCCCUCGCGACGCCGCUGACGCUGCGGUCGAUGGCCGAGAUGUGCCCCGGCAUGGACGAGGCGGCGCUGAGGCGGGUGGUGGAGACGGACUGGAGCGAGCUGGGCGGGGCCGUGCUGGAGGCGGAGGACGUGGCGAGGGCGGCGUUGUACCUGGCGUCGGACGAGGCCAAGUUCGUCACCGGGCACAACCUGCUCGUCGACGGCGGGUUCACCGCGCACAAGGCUGUCGGCAUGCCGUCCGUGGCACGUUGA
Molecule: ribosomal RNA, 1101 nt
Filed under: Triticum aestivum (bread wheat)
Lineage: Eukaryota; Viridiplantae; Streptophyta; Magnoliopsida; Poales; Poaceae
Description: partial small subunit ribosomal RNA
Source: RNAcentral